This is a non-coding RNA of Talaromyces islandicus, 76 nucleotides long. Lineage: Eukaryota; Fungi; Ascomycota; Eurotiomycetes; Eurotiales; Trichocomaceae. The record is from the annotation of a GenBank genome assembly.
UCCGAAAUGGUGUAAUGGUCAACAUCGCUGUCUCUCAAUUGCACAGCAGCUCGGGGUUCGAUUCCCCGUUUCGGAG